Molecule: long non-coding RNA, 186 nt
Organism: Labrus mixtus (cuckoo wrasse)
Lineage: Eukaryota; Metazoa; Chordata; Actinopteri; Labriformes; Labridae
Exons: 2
Source: RefSeq, a predicted model, not a curated record
GCAGCAGGCUGAGAGCUCAACUACCGUACUGUAGCUAGUAGGAGCGCAAACUCCCAAAAAAACUGCACGUUGUAGACAUCGCUGAACACAAUAUAAAUCGUCCCGCAGGAAAACAGUUUAAUGUUUUUUUUCUCUCAAAGAGACCUUAAAAACAGGGUGCGACUUAUACUCCGGAUUUUACGGUAA